CUCGAGACACACUCGUUCUAGCUAGUAGCGCCGCAGAGGAAAAUUAGCAACUUUGGCAGCCCUGACACACUGAACAAUACGGUUAUGGAGUUUCCACAUUAAAAUCAAUGGAGUACCGACCCUAGCGCCAGUGGCCCCCAGGUAAAUUGAGUUUGAGACCCCUGUUCUACGGAGUAAUGUGCCAGGGCUUCUAGCAGCCGGGAAAUGUACUUAUGUAGAAGGAUUUGGGUUCUAAUAAUGCUUUGUAUAAUGAAGUGGAUCAUGUCGGUGAAGGUCCAGCGCUCGAGGCUUGGGACAGUGCACCCCUGGCAGCCGGUGGAGGAGAGUGUUUUGUGUCCUGG
This is a non-coding RNA of Doryrhamphus excisus (bluestripe pipefish), 341 nucleotides long. NCBI's taxonomy places the organism in Eukaryota, Metazoa, Chordata, Actinopteri, Syngnathiformes, Syngnathidae. The record is from RefSeq and is a predicted model, not a curated record.